This 839-nucleotide long non-coding RNA is filed under the name Microcebus murinus (gray mouse lemur). RNAcentral describes it as "lncRNA (ENSMICG00000048605.1)". Lineage: Eukaryota; Metazoa; Chordata; Mammalia; Primates; Cheirogaleidae. The record is from RNAcentral.
CACCCUUCUCUGUUGUUAUAAUGUCUUUCCAAAUAGAGUCAAAGGCCAUUGUGUAGGUUCCUACUCACCCCUUUCCAAUCUUAGUCCAAUGUUGCCUUCUUGAUAUCACAACCAAGGUAUCCUAAUAAUGUUUGAGAAGUUCCCAAGCUCUUUGUCCCAGUUUUUGUAGAAAAGCUUCUGGUUCUCUCCCAUGUAAGGCUAAUUCAUACAUGCCAGUGUCAUCAAUAGUUUAGAUCUCAAAAUCAACUUUCUUUUUCUUUUCUUUUUUUAUGUUGCCUGUGUGAACCACUGCCUUGAGUAAAACAUAGUUCUUGUACUAUGUGCUAAUGACUGAAAUUCUGAUGAGAUUAAAGAGCACAAGAUAGAGCCAGUAACUGUUUCUCACUGUGCACGUAUGAAGCUUGCAUUCUUUUUGCAUGUUUUCAGGUUCAACAACAAGACCUAUUGCUAUUUUUGACGUUCAGAAAUUCAAUAAAGAACUGUUGACAUUUGAAGGUCUCAUUCAAGAAAGCCAACUAAACGGACAAAAAGAAUGAUGAUCACAGAUAAAGAACCCUAAGUGCUUAAAAAAAAAGGUCUUCCAAAAAGAAGCAAGCUGAUUGGCAGCAUAGAAUGCUAAAGGCUCAGGGAUUAGAAACACCGUGCACCUCUGUAAGCAGAGUGAGGAAUGGAUCUUAAAGCAGACUGAGACUCUGUCAGAAGGCUCUAGAUCCCAGGUACUCUCCUUCCUUCUCACUUUCCUUCAACCAUAGCAAAAGGUAAAGAUUAUGCUCAGGAAAUGAUGAACCUGUUUAAGCUCUGGACCCUCAGAUACGAUGUACAAGUGAAUUGAGUAAACA